AUUUGCCCACAGUUCUGAUUGGCUC
RNAcentral lists this non-coding RNA (25 nucleotides) under Rattus norvegicus (Norway rat). Lineage: Eukaryota; Metazoa; Chordata; Mammalia; Rodentia; Muridae. The record is from RNAcentral.